Molecule: ribosomal RNA, 253 nt
Filed under: uncultured bacterium
Lineage: Bacteria
Description: partial 16S ribosomal RNA
Rfam family: Bacterial small subunit ribosomal RNA
Source: RNAcentral
UACGGAGGGUGCAAGCGUUAUCCGGAUUCACUGGGUUUAAAGGGUGCGUAGGUGGGCUGGUAAGUCAGUGGUGAAAUCUCCAGGCUUAACUUGGAAACUGCCAUUGAUACUAUCAGUCUUGAAUACCGUGGAGGUCAGCGGAAUAUGUCAUGUAGCGGUGAAAUGCUUAGAUAUGACAUAGAACACCAAUUGCGAAGGCAGCUGACUACACGAAUAUUGACACUGAUGCACGAAAGCGUGGGGAUCAAACAGG